This 22-nucleotide small nuclear RNA is filed under the name Arabidopsis thaliana (thale cress). RNAcentral's name for it is "snRNA_00558". Lineage: Eukaryota; Viridiplantae; Streptophyta; Magnoliopsida; Brassicales; Brassicaceae. The record is from RNAcentral.
GCAGAUCUGAGAAUCUGGUGGA